AGGGAAUCUUCGGCAAUGGGGGCAACCCUGACCGAGCAACGCCGCGUGAGUGAAGAAGGUUUUCGGAUCGUAAAGCUCUGUUGUAAGUCAAGAACGGGUGUGAGAGCGGAAAGUUCACACUGUGACGGUAGCUUACCAGAAAGGGACGGCUAACUACGUGCCAGCAGCCGCGGUAAUACGUAGGUCCCGAGCGUUGUCCGGAUUUAUUGGGCGUAAAGCGAGCGCAGGCGGUUUGAUAAGUCUGAAGUUAAAGGCUGUGGCUCAACCAUAGUUCGCUUUGGAAACUGUCAAACUUGAGUGCAGAAGGGGAGAGUGGAAUUCCAUGUGUAGCGGUGAAAUGCGUAGAUAUAUGGAGGAACACCGGUGGCGAAAGCGGCUCUCUGGUCUGUAACUGACGCUGAGGCUCGAAAGCGUGGGGAGCGAACAGGAUUAGAUACCCUGGUAGUCCACGCCGUAAACGAUGAGUGCUAGGUGUUGGAUCCUUUCCGGGAUUCAGUGCCGCAGCUAACGCAUUAAGCACUCCGCCUGGGGAGUACGACCGCAAGGUUGAAAC
This 553-nucleotide ribosomal RNA is filed under the name uncultured bacterium. RNAcentral's name for it is "partial 16S ribosomal RNA". It matches the Rfam family "Bacterial small subunit ribosomal RNA", at positions 356 to 900 of the family's 1533-position model. The record is from RNAcentral.